UGCUGCCUCAGCUGGCGUGAUCUCGUUCUGAAACCAAAUCUGGACCCUGGGCUCCGGAAUGCCGAUGGCCUGGGCAUCGCCCAGGCCACCAGCUCUUCCCUGGUGGCGAUGCCCCGGUACGGGUUCCGCUCAAAGCAGGCUCGCAGGGCCUCCCUUUGGCUCGGGGUCCAAACGAGUCUCCUUCGCCGUCCUCCCCCUCGGGCUUCCGCCUGGAGGGCGCUGUCGGAAGAGGUCGGGAGAGCCAUGGCGGGGAGACCUGGCCGGAAUUUCGCGGACAGACACGUACAGAGAGGCCGGCGGGCUCCCGUGCCCCUCAGUCGGCCUGUGCACGGCGCGCAGGUCCAGCCAGGAGGCCGGCCCAGCCGGCCAGCGGCCCUUAUAAAGGCCCACAGGCUUCACCCCUUCAGGAACGCGGAAGGAGCCCCUGGGAAAAGAAAAGACAGAAAAUCAUUUUUGGAUACUUGCAUUUUCAGCAUAAAGACUUUUCUAAAGAGAAACAAAAUACCAUCAUCAUGAAGGCAUGGAUCAGACAUCUUCUCCACUGAGUUCUUUCAGGUUCUCAGGGAAAAUCUGGUUGAUUAGGAAGAUUCCUGGUAAUGUGUCUUUCAGAAAAAAACAAUUUAAUUUACAUACAUAGCUUAAUUUUGUGUACUAAACAAUUUUAAAAUUUCCAUGGAUGUACGUGUUUUGGAAAUAUAUUAUGGUAGUGUUUCUAAGACGUUUAGGAGUUAAUUAGCCAAGUUUUGUGGUGCAUGCCUGAAGGCCCAGCUACUAAGGAGGCUGAGGUGGGAGGAUCACCUGGUCUCCUUGGGAGGUCAAGGCUGCAGUGGGUUGUGAUCUUGCCACUGCACUCCAGGCUGGAUGAGAAAAAAAGACCAUGUCUCAAAAAAAAAAAAAAAAAAAAGAAAGAAAGAAAGAAAGAAAGAAGAAAAGGAAAGAAAAGAAAACAAUGCCCACCCCAUGGGUUUAUAUUUUCUUCUUCGGAUUUUUGUUUGUUUGCUUUGUUUAUGCUUUUGAUUUUAGGGGGCAGCAGCUUCCCUAAAAUGCUAGAAGCCCACAGCAGAUUCAGAUCUACCAAAUAUAGUUUCGUUUUCUUCUACUGUUUUGCUUUGGAAAAAUGUUGAAAGAUAUUGAAUACUUAUAUACUGUGCUGGGUUUUGUUUCGUUAAUAUUUCCCAUCUCAUAUUUUAGAUAUAAAUAAAAAUUACAAUACUACUUGAUAUCUUUCUAAUCCCAAGCAUUCAUUUUUACUUUCUAUAUUUUAAACAUUACUGUUUCUUUAAUUGCUAUACCAUAAAUAUUUACAGGUUUUGAAUGAUAUGUACAGCACAUUUCUAAAUAUUUUAGGCAAUUGUCAAGACAACGCUGAUAGUCAGAGAAAGAUUCGUGGAGACAUGAAUCUUUCAUGAAUUCGUGGAGACACGAAAAGGGAUUUCAGGUCAGAAAAUCAGUAUCUAAAUAGACUUAAAUAAGUGAUUUUUUUUCAAAUAUGGUCAAUGGAAUGUAAAUUUUAUUAUGUACAUGCUUCUAUUAUGUAAAUUGUAUUAUUUUUAUGGCUACUAUAUAGCCAUAGGAAGAAUAUAACCAUGAAGAAGAAGAAAGUGAGGUAUCAAAAAACUGUGAUGAGAAUAGAAUCUUGGGGAAGUAAAAGUAAACCUCAAGGAAAGGGGAUUAAUAAACAGUAGUUGCUUCUACUAGUGUACUCUUGGAGAUUGUAGGUUCAGAAACCAACAUUAACACUUUUGAUAGUGAAUUUUGGAAAGCUUACAAAAUCACUGCAACUUGUCUUCAGCCAUAGGUCUGAUUCCUUGGAAACUUAUGGAAAAUACAUUGUACUGGGUAUAUUAACUUUCAACAAACUAACAUCUGGAGAUGUCUAGAGCUUCCUUUUUAGUCAACAUCUGCCAAAAAUGAUUUAGCCUUGGGAAUCAAAUCUAAAACCAACCAAAUCUCUGAGAUUCCUUUAGUGAUCAAGAAUAUGGGUAUUUUUUAUGUGAAUACAUCUUGACUUGGGUCUAGGUUUCUGUUUAAACCUGUGCUAGAAUCUCUGUCUGUAACACAGGUCAACAGCACUACAUCCCAAGAAUAAUGCUUGAAAAUAAUUAAUCAGUUCAUUUACUACUUAUAUGGUAAUUUGCUGUGCCAGAAAUUUGCCAGAAUUUCUGAAAAUGAGAUAGUUCAGAGAACGAGAUGCAACUUUCUUAUUAAAUUUUAAAAAAAUAGGUAAUAUAAUGACUUUCGCACAGAUAUAAAUUACUUCAUAAAAUAUCUUAUUCAGGCCGGGCGCGGUGGCUCAAGCCUGUAAUCCCAGCACUUUGGGAGGCCGAGACGGGGGGAUCACGAGGUCAGGAGAUCGAGACCAUCCUGGCUAACACGGUGAAACCCCGUCUCUACUAAAAAUACAAAAAGUAGCCGGGCGAGGUGGCGGGCGCCUGUAGUCCCAGCUACUCGGGAGGCUGAGGCAGGAGAAUGGCGUAAACCCGGGAGGCGGAGCUUGCAGUGAGCUGAGAUCUGGCCACUGCACUCCAGUCCGGGCGACAACGCAAGACCCCCCCUAAAAAAAAAAAAAAAUCUUAUUCAUUACUGAAGAAACCAGUAAAAUAUUACAAUUGGAUAAAAAUAGAUUUCAAAAUGCC
This is a long non-coding RNA of Rhinopithecus roxellana (golden snub-nosed monkey), 2636 nucleotides long. The record is from Ensembl. Lineage: Eukaryota; Metazoa; Chordata; Mammalia; Primates; Cercopithecidae.